GCAGAGCCAGGUCAAGCCCUGAGGAGAGUCUAGAAAAGCUUCCUAGUGUGUCUUCUCUCAUCUGUUGUGGCUUGAGUUGUGUCUGCUAAGAGAGGUGUGUUGAAGUCCCGGCCCCCAGGACCUCAGGAUGUGGCCUUAUUUGGAAAUGUGGUUAUUGUAGAUAUAACCAGUUGAAAUGAGGCUAUACUAGAGUAAGUUGGCCUUAAGCCAAUAUGACUAGCAUCCUGGUAAGAGAGAAGAUCAGAGUGUUAAGCCCCACAGGUGGUGGCAAGAUAGCCAUGUGGGGAGAAAGAGAUUGCCAAGAAUUUCUGGCAGCCACCAGAAGUUGGAAGAGGCAUGGAAGGAUCCUUCUCUAGAACCUUCAGAAGGAGCCUGACCCUGUCCACACCCAUAUUUCAGACUCCUAGCUUCCAGAACUGUGAGAGAACAAAUUACUUCUGUUCCUUUUUCUUUUUUCUCUUUGGCACUGGGGAUUGAACAGUGAUGUUCUGCCACUGAGCUAUGUCCUCAUUUUGUUUUCUUUUUUUAAAUUGGAGAUGGGGGGGGGGUCUCACUAAAUUGCUGAGGGUCCUGCUAAACUGUCAAGGCUGGCCUUGAGCUUGGCGAUCCUCCAGCCUCAGCCUCCCGAAUCCCUGGAUUACAGGUGUGCAACCCUGCACCCAGCUCGGCUUCUGUAGUUUGGAUCCACCCUCUUGGUGGCACCUUGUCACCACCUCUAAAGCAUCACCUCGCAGCUCCUCUCUACCUACCACAUGCAGUUGGACAGACACUGGAAAUCUUUUGGCGUCUGGGGGUGUAGCUCAUGGGAGGAGUGAUUGCCUGGUAAACCUGAAGCCCAGGGUUCUAUCCCCAGUACUGAAAAAAGCAAGAACAGAAAACUCUGCAGGUGGUCUGAGAGUGUAAGCUGCUGUCUUUCUUUGUCGGAUCUUUUUAUUUGUUUGUUUGUUUGUUUGUUGAGUGUUGGUUGGGGAACUAAAGCCUAUCGAAGUGACUGGAGUCUACAGGAUGAUUUGAAAGAGAAUAGUUCGGGAAAACUGAUGAUCGUGUCUGCUAACGCAGCUGGCUAGAGAAGGGAGACUCUUUAGACCACAUGGCAAAUCAUUAGAUGCACCCAAACCUGGCAGAAGUGGUGAAGAAGGCAACAUUGGCUAUUCACAGGACGUGUUACCCGCAAAAUAAGCAAGGUUGUGUACCCCACGUGCUGUCUGGGGUCUCCUGGGUCCUUGAGAGCUGGGAAUAGUUGGCAUGACCCUCAUUCAGCUCUUCAAGGAAGCCCUCAGUGUUCCCAGGCUUUCUGUGUUUCUGGAGGCUGGGGAUGGAGUUAACCAGUUCUCCUGGCCACGUCUGACCCCAGGCUCCUCUUCUGCUGUCACCAGCCUCUCAUCCUGGUUCACAGUGGCGUGAAACCAGCCACUUUCCUAGGGAAGGGAGACGUGCAGCCAGGGAAAGCACAAGUCCACUCAGCAAUUUAGUGGGGCCCUAAGCAGUUCAGUGAGACCCUGUCUCUAAAUAAAAUAUUAAAAAAGGGCUGGGGACAUG
This 1539-nucleotide long non-coding RNA is filed under the name Marmota monax (woodchuck). Lineage: Eukaryota; Metazoa; Chordata; Mammalia; Rodentia; Sciuridae. The record is from RNAcentral.